UACGGAGGGUGCAAGCGUUAUCCGGAUUCACUGGGCUUAAAGGGUGCGUAGGCGGGCAGGUAAGUCCGGGGUGAAAUCUCUGAGCUUAACUCAGAAACUGCCAUGGAUACUAUCUGUCUUGAAUAUUGUGGAGGUAAGCGGAAUAUGUCAUGUAGCGGUGAAAUGCUUAGAUAUGACAUAGAGCACCAAUUGCGAAGGCAGCUUGCUGGGGCUGCGCUGACGCUGAGACACGAAAGCCAGGGGAGCGAACGGG
Molecule: ribosomal RNA, 253 nt
Filed under: uncultured bacterium
Lineage: Bacteria
Description: partial 16S ribosomal RNA
Rfam family: Bacterial small subunit ribosomal RNA
Source: RNAcentral